This 452-nucleotide ribosomal RNA is filed under the name uncultured bacterium. Its description in RNAcentral is "bacterial SSU rRNA". It matches the Rfam family "Bacterial small subunit ribosomal RNA", at positions 340 to 786 of the family's 1533-position model. The record is from RNAcentral.
UACGGGAGGCAGCAGUGGGGAAUAUUGCACAAUGGGCGCAAGCCUGAUGCAGCCAUGCCGCGUGUAUGAAGAAGGCCUUCGGGUUGUAAAGUACUUUCAGUCGUGAGGAAGGUGUUAAGGUUAAUAACCUUAGCAAUUGACGUUAGCGACAGAAGAAGCACCGGCUAACUCCGUGCCAGCAGCCGCGGUAAUACGGAGGGUGCGAGCGUUAAUCGGAAUUACUGGGCGUAAAGGGCACGCAGGCGGUUAAUUAAGUUGGAUGUGAAAUCCCCGGGCUUAACCUGGGAAUGGCAUUCAAGCUGGUUAGCUAGAGUCUUGUAGAGGGGGUAGAAUUCCAUGUGUAGCGGUGAAAUGCGUAGAGAUGUGGAGGAAUACCGGUAGCGAAGGCGGCCCCUGGACAAAGACUGACGCUCAUGUGCGAAAGCGUGGGGAGCAAACAGGGAUUAGAUACC